CCUACCGUACUGGUGGCAUCUCAGAGGGUUUGCUGCCUCAUUCCUACUUCUUGUUUUUAUAUUGUGUCGUUUACUUGUAUGUCUAUCGUGUACUAUGUCUCGUCAACGUGGGAUAGAGGAAAGUGCGGGGGGACCAAAAAAAAAAAGAGUGUAAUAUCGGUUUCACCAGUAUAUAAUUGAAACCGGAAGGUAUUCGGACAUCCCUGCGGUCAGUAGAAUAUAUAACGGCUGUGCAAUGAGAAGUCAAGACAUGUUCCACGAGAGCAGGCGGUCAAGGCAAGAGUAAUCUCGACGCAACAUGCCCAACAUGUACACGCAAAUUCUCGCGGCGGGCUUGGUGGCUUUUCUAGUACUGCGAGCCAAUGGCGCUCCGUUGACAGAAGCGACCACCGUCUUGCCAUCAAGCGACACCUCAAGUGAGGAGGAAACGGCGCCCUCUGCCCUGCUGACCUCCGCUCAUGUUUGGGACUCGGUUCUGGGUACCGCUAAAGAACACCAGAAAGCUUUUGAUGAUGAAUUCCAAAACAAUGUCAACUUUCAUUUACUGGAGCAUUACAAAGCACCUCAGUUUCCAGCAAACUGCCCCAGCUCCAACUUUAGCAAGGAGGCUUGCCUGCACAGGCUGGCCCAAGGUCUGUCCACUUAAAUAAUUCUUCUCAAGCACGUGGAGAAGGAAUAUCCCGGCAGUAAAAUUCUGUCUGAGGCCAAACACUACUCUGAACUCCUGCUCUACAAUAUCAAACAAAAGAUGAAAAAACCAGAAGAGGUCACAGGCCUGAGUAGCAAUGAGGAAGAGAGCCUAUUGAGGUCACUGUACCACCCCGAUGCUUUCCACAGAAAGAUGACGGCGCACAACAUCCUGCGGAAGCUCUACAUCUUCAUUGUUGACGGCAAGAGGGCGCUGAGGCGCAAAGAACGGCGAAGGGGAAAACGUGCCAAGGUCUUCGCCAUGUUUAGUUUAUUGCGGUAGUCACGUCCGCCACUGAAGCCCGUCGGAAAUGUUGGGCAAAACAUGAAGUGAAUUAAGGAAGUUCUUGUAUCUGCACUGACGUGUCGUAACCCACUGACGGAUUGAUGAUGUAUUUGUUUUUGCAUGACGCACUGAGUGUUUUUUUUUUAUUCUGUAGAUAACCUAUUUAUUGCUCAUUCAAAAAAGCCAUUGUGAAUCUAAGACCUUAUUUGUUGCAAACAGUCGUAUGAAUUAUUUAAAGAUAUUUAUUACAUAUUAUUGUUUUUAUACUUGAAGGCAUGAUAAUUAUAUUUAUUUUUUAAACGGAAUGUAUUUUUAAAACAUGAAUAAAACUAUUUGCUUACUUAUGAAUUGAACUGCUUGAUUUAUAACACUUUGGCAGGUGUCUUUUGAGAAUUUCACUUAUUAGAUUGAACUACAGAAAUCUCUUUUUAUGAGAUUCAAAUACAUCGUAUAUAUAUAUUUGCAAAACAGAAAUAUCGUAAGGCCACUUAUGGGCUUUACUGUCAAA
Syngnathus typhle (broad-nosed pipefish) is the source of this 1481-nucleotide RNA transcript. It is a transcript of the gene named interleukin-6-like, with no coding region annotated. The transcript has 5 exons. The record is from RefSeq and is a predicted model, not a curated record. NCBI's taxonomy places the organism in Eukaryota, Metazoa, Chordata, Actinopteri, Syngnathiformes, Syngnathidae.